This 477-nucleotide ribosomal RNA is filed under the name uncultured bacterium. Its description in RNAcentral is "partial 16S ribosomal RNA". It matches the Rfam family "Bacterial small subunit ribosomal RNA", at positions 28 to 523 of the family's 1533-position model. The record is from RNAcentral.
GACGAACGCUGGCGGCGUGCUUAACACAUGCAAGUCGAACGAUGAAACCUAGCUUGCUAGGUCGAUUAGUGGCGAACGGGUGAGUAACACGUGACUAACCUGCCCCUUUCUCUGGGAUAACGCUCCGAAAGGAGUGCUAAUACCGGAUACUCACAUCGAGGCACAUGCCUUGAUGUGGAAAGUUUUUCGGAAAGGGAUGGAGUCGCGGCCUAUCAGCUUGUUGGUGAGGUAACGGCUCACCAAGGCGACGACGGGUAGCCGGCCUGAGAGGGCGACCGGCCACACUGGGACUGAGACACGGCCCAGACUCCUACGGGAGGAAGCAGUGGGGAAUAUUGCACAAUGGGCGCAAGCCUGAUGCAGCGACGCCGCGUGAGGGAUGAAGGUCUUCGGGUUGUAAAGCUCUGUCUUAGCUGACGAUAAUGACGGUAAGCUAGGAGGAAGCCACGGCUAACUACGUGCCAGCCGCCGCCGUAA